CACACACACACACACACAUAUUAAACCAUCACCCCACCUUCCAUCCCCUUCUAAAACAGAAAAUAAAAGAAGCAUGACCAAAAGAAGAGAAGAAGAAAAAGAAAAUAAAGGAAAAAGUGACAGGAGAAAAGAAGAAAUUGGCAUGCAUAAAUGCAAGAUUACAACAAGUAGUCAUUUUUUGAAUGAAUAUUAUAUUAAACAUUUUCCUUAACUCAAUUACAAAACAGAGAAUCUGCCUGUAUAGGAUCACAAUUGGUAUUUGUUGGCAUAACACCAAUUAGUUCAGGAAAGUAAGGAUAAAUAAAGUAACCAUAACUGAGAAUUUGCUAAAAGUGUGAAUUUUCAUAUAUGCUAUAGUAUGUAGAUAGAGGUGCAAAGUAACCAAACCUAGCCAUGCUCAAACUUGGUUUCAUCUCAAUCAAACUUCCAAAAGCUCAGUUCAAUUUUUUGUUGAGCACCAAAACUAGAAGAAUUAUAUGAUAUGGACACAGUAAAUGCCUAUUUCUUAGAGCACAAAAUUCAGGGGAGAGGAAUGAUUGAAUACAAGGCUAGAGACUUCAAACUCCUCUUUUCUUUUUUCUUUUACCACAAAUAUCUUUUUCCCCUUAUCCAAAUUUUCUUGGUCAACUAUCUAAUUAUCAUCAUUAAUUUAUUUCAUUCUAACAAGCCAUACUAGGCACAAGACAUACCAUCACAGUAAUCUUACAGUUUACUUCAACAAGAGACCUUGCCAAAAAAAUAAUGCUUUAGAAGAUGCAAACUUAUUGCUAAUUAACUUUGAUAAACUUUUAAUUAGAAAAAUGAACAAAAGGUCCAAAAAAAAUAACGAAUAUAAAUGUUACAUAUAAGAGACUAGUAGUAGUUAAGAAGGGAGUUAUAUUUUGUUUAGAUAUCUGGAAGUAGUUACAGAUCUGUUAGUGGAGAAGGAGAUUGGCGGGAACAGUUAAUUCUAGGUAGUUUUUGGAAGAAACUGGCCUAUAAAAGAGCUGGAAUAGCUCCAGGGUUGUUAUUCUUAAAUUCUAAUCAAUAAAG
RNAcentral lists this unclassified non-coding RNA (1032 nucleotides) under Hevea brasiliensis (rubber tree). The record is from RNAcentral. Lineage: Eukaryota; Viridiplantae; Streptophyta; Magnoliopsida; Malpighiales; Euphorbiaceae.